Molecule: ribosomal RNA, 497 nt
Filed under: uncultured bacterium
Lineage: Bacteria
Description: partial 16S ribosomal RNA
Rfam family: Bacterial small subunit ribosomal RNA
Source: RNAcentral
GAUGAACGCUGGCGGCGUGCCUAAUACAUGCAAGUCGAGCGAACGGACGAGAAGCUUGCUUCUCUGAUGUUAGCGGCGGACGGGUGAGUAACACGUGGAUAACCUACCUAUAAGACUGGGAUAACUUCGGGAAACCGGAUCUAAUACCGGAUAAUAUUUUGAACCGCAUGGUUCAAAAGUGAAAGACGGUCUUGCUGUCACUUAUAGAUGGAUCCGCGCUGCAUUAGCUAGUUGGUAAGGUAACGGCUUACCAAGGCAACGAUGCAUAGCCGACCUGAGAGGGUGAUCGGCCACACUGGAACUGAGACACGGUCCAGACUCCUACGGGAGGCAGCAGUAGGGAAUCUUACGCAAUGGGCGAAAGCCUGACGGAGCAACGCCGCGUGAGUGAUGAAGGUCUUCGGAUCGUAAAACUCUGUUAUUAGGGAAGAACAUAUGUGUAAGUAACUGUGCACAUCUUGACGGUACCUAACCAGAAAGCCACGGCUAACUACGUG